Molecule: small RNA, 111 nt
Filed under: Oceanospirillum linum
Lineage: Bacteria; Pseudomonadati; Pseudomonadota; Gammaproteobacteria; Oceanospirillales; Oceanospirillaceae
Description: t44 RNA
Rfam family: t44 RNA
About the family: This family consists of a number of bacterial RNA genes of between 135 and 170 bases in length. The t44 gene is found between the map and rpsB genes in all species in the full alignment apart from Shigella flexneri.
Source: Rfam by way of RNAcentral
UAAUUUUAUUAAAAACGACACACACACACCGGCACGUAGUUCUGGGUGCUCCGAUGAGAUCAACGCAGGUUGCUCUGAAGGGUUGGAUUAUGGGGUGUGUGGAGGUUUAAC